GAUGUGAGGGCGUUCUGGCUGCAACAUCUGCCACCCCAUUGAUCACCAGGGUUGAUUCGGCUGAUCUGGCUGGCUAGGCUGGUGGCUAUGAUAACAUCACCCCAGAACUC
This 110-nucleotide small nuclear RNA is filed under the name Erinaceus europaeus (western European hedgehog). RNAcentral's name for it is "7SK RNA". It matches the Rfam family "7SK RNA", at positions 2 to 107 of the family's 331-position model. From Rfam's summary of the family: 7SK was discovered as an abundant small nuclear RNA in the mid-70s but a possible function has only recently been suggested. Two independent studies have found that 7SK RNA binds the CDK9/cyclin T complex (known as elongation factor P-TEFb). Lineage: Eukaryota; Metazoa; Chordata; Mammalia; Eulipotyphla; Erinaceidae. The record is from Rfam by way of RNAcentral.